GACGAACGCUGGCGGCGUGCUUAACACAUGCAAGUCGAACGGAAAGGCCCUGCUUUUGUGGGGUGCUCGAGUGGCGAACGGGUGAGUAACACGUGAGUAACCUGCCCUUGACUUUGGGAUAACUUCAGGAAACUGGGGCUAAUACCGGAUAGGAGCUCCUGCUGCAUGGUGGGGGUUGGAAAGUUUCGGCGGUUGGGGAUGGACUCGCGGCUUAUCAGCUUGUUGGUGGGGUAGUGGCUUACCAAGGCUUUGACGGGUAGCCGGCCUGAGAGGGUGACCGGCCAGAUUGGGACGGAGAUACGACCCGGACUCCUACGGGAGGCAGGGGUGGGGUAUAGAGCACAAUGGGCUGAAGCAUGAUGCGACAACGCCGCGUGCGGGAUGUGGGCAAUCGGGUUGUGUACCGCUUUCGCCUGUGACGAAGCGUGAGUGACGGUAAUGGGUAAAGAAGCACCGGCUAACUACGUG
This 468-nucleotide ribosomal RNA is filed under the name uncultured bacterium. Its description in RNAcentral is "partial 16S ribosomal RNA". It matches the Rfam family "Bacterial small subunit ribosomal RNA", at positions 28 to 507 of the family's 1533-position model. The record is from RNAcentral.